This is a small nucleolar RNA of Bombina bombina (fire-bellied toad), 181 nucleotides long. RefSeq annotates it as small nucleolar RNA SNORA23. Lineage: Eukaryota; Metazoa; Chordata; Amphibia; Anura; Bombinatoridae. The record is from RefSeq and is a predicted model, not a curated record. The transcript has a single exon.
GCAGGAAUGUGUGCACAGUGCUAGUCUGUGUCUAGUGGAACAGUCAGCUUGCGUUUUGCAUGUUGGCUGUUUUGCUCAUACAAACCCUGCGGCCAGAGAUGAACAUGAGAUCAUAGUACUGGUCUAGUGAAGUCUAACGGACAAUCUCCCCACUGGCCAGCCUCCAAACUCUCAUACAUAU